GUCUUUGUAGUAUAACUAUUACCUUGGUCUUGUAAACCAAAAACGGAGAACAUAAAAUCUCCCUAAGACU
Molecule: transfer RNA, 70 nt
Filed under: Leptonychotes weddellii (Weddell seal)
Lineage: Eukaryota; Metazoa; Chordata; Mammalia; Carnivora; Phocidae
Description: transfer RNA-Thr
Source: RNAcentral